This 301-nucleotide ribosomal RNA is filed under the name uncultured bacterium. RNAcentral's name for it is "partial 16S ribosomal RNA". It matches the Rfam family "Bacterial small subunit ribosomal RNA", at positions 509 to 809 of the family's 1533-position model. The record is from RNAcentral.
CAGCAGCCGCGGUAAUACGUAGGGCGCAAGCGUUAUCCGGAAUUAUUGGGCGUAAAGAGCUCGUAGGCGGUUUGUCGCGUCUGCCGUGAAAGUCCGGGGCUCAACCCCGGAUCUGCGGUGGGUACGGGCAGACUAGAGUGAUGUAGGGGAGACUGGAAUUCCUGGUGUAGCGGUGAAAUGCGCAGAUAUCAGGAGGAACACCGAUGGCGAAGGCAGGUCUCUGGGCAUUAACUGACGCUGAGGAGCGAAAGCAUGGGGAGCGAACAGGAUUAGAUACCCCGGUAGUCCCUGUCUCUUAUAA